Long non-coding RNA from Oncorhynchus tshawytscha (Chinook salmon), 629 nucleotides. The record is from Ensembl. NCBI's taxonomy places the organism in Eukaryota, Metazoa, Chordata, Actinopteri, Salmoniformes, Salmonidae.
GGUGAUGGGAUUGCACCCCUCUCCAGCAUGACCACAUGUUCUGUACAGGUGCACUGAAGCACAGCUCGGCGGAGGUGAGAGAGACGGCCGUGCGCAUCGUCCUGGCCAUUUACCGCCUGCGCAAGAACGCCAUCCCCUACUACCUCCUGGCCAACGACACGCGCAAGAACAUCCUCCACUGGAACAUCUCUGACGGCUUCGACCAGGAUCGACGGGCAGCCGGUAGAAUCCAAGAAGUCAAAGAAGGGAGGCGCACAGCAGGAGGGGAAGAAAGAGGAGAUCCGCAGUCUUCAGGAGCAGCUGGCUGCCAUGAAGGAGAUCAGUGUGUCAAAAAGGCUCCCCAAAACAACCUGGCAGAUGCAGGAGAUGACCAGUCUUCAGUUGUCAACCACUUAGACAAGAUGAGUCCUUCACUGAAGAUGGACUGGACCUGCACUAUUGCUGCGCCGCUGUGACCAAUGUAGACAGACAGGAGCUGAGAUUCUGUUGCACUCGGCCUUGGUCCUUUUCACUGGAGCAAGUCACUGUUAGACUAACUGCAUGUAAGAUAUGAAAUGAUUUACAGUACUUCUCGUCAAAUCAAGAAAUAUGCCAGCAUUACAUUCAAUUGUAUUAAAAUUAACACUUGG